Molecule: ribosomal RNA, 136 nt
Filed under: uncultured eukaryote
Lineage: Eukaryota
Description: partial 18S ribosomal RNA
Rfam family: Eukaryotic small subunit ribosomal RNA
Source: RNAcentral
UGGUGGAGUGAUUUGUCUGGUUAAUUCCGAUAACGAACGAGACUCCAACCUACUAACUAGUGGAGCGAUCGUCCCUGUCGCUCGCACUUCUUAGAGGGAUAAGCGGUGUUCAGCCGCAUGAGAAGGAGCAAUAACA